GCAGAAUUUAGCGGAAUGGAUCGCUGCGUUAUGCCGGCCUGACGUGAGCUUUGUGCAGAACCCGUUGGAAACCAGCGGUGGCGAGUGCAGACGAGCGCAUGCGCUGUCUUGCGCUCCCGCGUUCUAAGGUUCGAAGCGCGCGCCGGUGAUCAGUCAGGUCCGGAGCUGGAUGCGUGUGGUGUGUGUCAAGAUUGCUUCCUCUGCUUGCUGGGGCUGUGCGUUAACAGUGCUUCUCUCGGCUUGCGACGUUCGAGCGUUUGGUCGCGAAUCGUUACACCGUCUUGGUGGUCUCGCAUGCUGGUCCGCGGGCACUGCUCGAAAACGGCCGGCGACCAAAGAAGUUGCACAGGUGACAGUGACUGCGGUAACAUUACGACAUUCUGUUGCGUGAUACGAAGCAAUGGUCAACCAAUCGGAAAGUGCGAACCGAAACCUGGACUCGGGGAAAAAUGCUCGACAGCAGUAUCCUCGAACAGGAAACCCAACACGGUUAACCUUCUUCAUAGAGACGGCUGCCCCUGCCGACCACCAUACGUGUGUGCCCGCCCUUCACCGAAAUCCGGGUUAGGCACUUGCCAGAAACCAUGAAGAACGAACAUCCGGAUGAAGACUAACUAGCCUAGCCUAAAGUUCGAAGUGCACAACUUGUGGUUCAAGAAUUAAAUUCACGCUCUGCUUGUGC
Long non-coding RNA from Dermacentor andersoni, 682 nucleotides. RefSeq lists it as uncharacterized. The record is from RefSeq and is a predicted model, not a curated record. Lineage: Eukaryota; Metazoa; Arthropoda; Arachnida; Ixodida; Ixodidae.